UACGAAGGGUGCAAACGUUGCUCGGAAUUAUUGGGCGUAAAGCGCUCGUAGGCGGCUCAGUAAGUCGGGUGUGAAAACUCCAGGCUCAACCUGGAGACGCCACCUGAUACUGCUGUGGCUAGAGUCCGGUAGGGGAGCAUGGAAUUCCUGGUGUAGCGGUGAAAUGCGCAGAUAUCAGGAGGAACACCGGUGGCGAAGGCGGGUCUCUGGGCCGAUACUGACGCUGAGGAGCGAAAGCGUGGGGAGCGAACAGG
RNAcentral lists this ribosomal RNA (254 nucleotides) under uncultured bacterium. Its description in RNAcentral is "partial 16S ribosomal RNA". It matches the Rfam family "Bacterial small subunit ribosomal RNA", at positions 524 to 776 of the family's 1533-position model. The record is from RNAcentral.